This 1051-nucleotide long non-coding RNA is filed under the name Macaca fascicularis (crab-eating macaque). RNAcentral describes it as "lncRNA (ENSMFAG00000058136.1)". The record is from RNAcentral. Lineage: Eukaryota; Metazoa; Chordata; Mammalia; Primates; Cercopithecidae.
GGUGGGCUCCAGGAGGAGCUGAGGAGAGGGUAACCAGGACCCUCAUUAGGGACCACGGGGGUGGGAAAGGUUGGGAAUUCGCCAGUCAUUUUUAUCCCAUCACGUGAAUCAUUCUUUCUGGCAGAGGAGAAGGUGCCGGUGUUAGUACCACCAACUGUGGCUUAAAAUGACAGAAAUCUAUUCUCUUACAAUUCUGGAGGUUAGGGCUUGAGCCACCACGCCCGGCCUCUACCUCCAUCUUAUGAGGUCUUUUCCCUGUGUAUUUGUGUCCCAACUUUCCUCUUCUUAUAGGGACAUCAGUCAUUGGAUUAGGGACCACUCUAGUUGAGUAUGACUUUAUCCUAACUUGAUUACAUCUGCAAAGACUCCAUUCCCAAAUAAGGCCACAUUCACAGGUUUGGGGGCCAGGAUAUACUCUUUUGGGGAACAUAAUUCAACCCAGGCUGUAACAGUGUCAUAUUAUUCCGAUAGAUUCUGAGCUAGCCCAUUCCCCGUCUAACAUCUCCAAACCUGGUUCCCUUAAACCGUUGAGCUUGUCUGCAACUCUUAUCCAAAUGAAGCUGUGAGGAGAGCUGCCCUGCUGACCAAUGGCAGGGCCUCCCUUCUGGCUCCAGGCUCUGCACUGAAGUGUAGUGGCCCAACCAGAUACUUGCCCAAUGCCGUGGGGGAAGCCAAGGAGGGCACAGCCAGUAGGAAAUACAUUCUCCCGAAGUGAUCACUUUUCAGUUUAAAAAAAAAAAGGUAAUUAAGGGCCGGGCGCGGUAGCUCACGCCUGUAAUCCCAGCACUUUGGGAGGCCGAGGCAGGCGGAUCACAAGGUCAGAAGAUUGAGACCAUCCUGGCGAACACGGUGAAACCCCGUCUCUAUUUUUAAAAAUAUGAAAAAAUUAGCCGGGCACGGUCACAGGCGCCAGUAGUCCCAGCUACUCGGGAGGCUGAGGCAGGAGAAUGGCGUGAACCCGGGAGGCGGAAGUUGCAGUGAGCCGAGAUUGCAUCACUGCACUCCAGCCUGGGCAACAGAGCAAGACUCUGUCUCAAAAAAAAAAAAAAAA